Molecule: small nucleolar RNA, 139 nt
Filed under: Lepisosteus oculatus (spotted gar)
Lineage: Eukaryota; Metazoa; Chordata; Actinopteri; Semionotiformes; Lepisosteidae
Description: Small nucleolar RNA SNORA8
Rfam family: Small nucleolar RNA SNORA8
About the family: ACA8 is a member of the H/ACA class of snoRNA that guide the sites of modification of uridines to pseudouridines.
Source: Rfam by way of RNAcentral
AGCACAGUGUGGUCUGCAGUCGGCCGUUCCCCUGGCUGGGCUGUUAAUUACACAGUGCGAGAGGAACUCUGCAUCUGGCAUCGUUGGCCUCCGUGCUGCCCCCGUGCCUGAGAGGCCUGGUAUUUCUGCAGAGACAAGC